Molecule: ribosomal RNA, 475 nt
Filed under: uncultured organism
Description: partial 16S ribosomal RNA
Rfam family: Bacterial small subunit ribosomal RNA
Source: RNAcentral
CGUACACUCCUACGGGAGGCAGCAGUGGGGAAUAUUGCACAAUGGGCGCAAGCCUGAUGCAGCCAUGCCGCGUGUAUGAAGAAGGCCUUCGGGUUGUAAAGUACUUUCAGCGGGGAGGAAGGCGAUAAGGUUAAUAACCUUGUUGAUUGACGUUACCCGCAGAAGAAGCACCGGCUAACUCCGUGCCAGCAGCCGCGGUAAUACGGAGGGUGCAAGCGUUAAUCGGAAUUACUGGGCGUAAAGCGCACGCAGGCGGUCUGUCAAGUCGGAUGUGAAAUCCCCGGGCUCAACCUGGGAACUGCAUUCGAAACUGGCAGGCUAGAGUCUUGUAGAGGGGGGUAGAAUUCCAGGUGUAGCGGUGAAAUGCGUAGAGAUCUGGAGGAAUACCGGUGGCGAAGGCGGCCCCCUGGACAAAGACUGACGCUCAGGUGCGAAAGCGUGGGGAGCAAACAGGAUUAGAUACCCCGGUAGUCCC